This is a long non-coding RNA of Labeo rohita (rohu), 1356 nucleotides long. RefSeq lists it as uncharacterized. NCBI's taxonomy places the organism in Eukaryota, Metazoa, Chordata, Actinopteri, Cypriniformes, Cyprinidae. The transcript is spliced from 2 exons. The record is from RefSeq and is a predicted model, not a curated record.
UUUAUCUUGUCACGAUCUCUGCUUGCACACUUUCAGAAAAAAAAGGUACAGUUCUGUUGCUGGGGCAGUACCCUAAGGUACAAAAGGGAAAAGGUACAUCUUUGUACUUUAUUUACCCCUAAACGGUACACAUUGGUACCUUAAAGACACAUAUUAAAUUAUAUUAUGCACUUUAAAAGUACAUAUUUGUACCUUUUCACUUUUUUACCUGAGGGUACCAUCCCAGCAACAGAACUGUACUUUUUCUGACAGUGCAAAAAGCACAGACCCAGCACAGCAAAUGUGAUUCUCCAUGUGGGCUUUGGAGAAAAGGAGGGGCACUGCAGAACACUUCCUUAUCAAACCACAGAUCUGAGUUCCUUUCUAGCAUCACGUCCAAAAGCACUGGUGCAGACUCAGAUUGUCUCAGACAUCUGUAACAACUCAUUAUUAAAGCUUCAAGAUCAGCUUCAGAUCAGAAACCAUGAGGGCAUCUACUCUUUGUCUGGUGUUUGGGCUGGUCCUGCUGAUGACGUGGACUUCUCAGGCUCAUCGUAAGUUCUCUUAAAGUUCUUUUAAUACUAAAUUAUUAUGUAUAUAAUAUAUAAAGUUGACCAAAUUUAAAGAGAUUUAAAAUGGAUCAAAUUAGAAACAAAAUCAUUUUACAUCCAGGUACCAUAGUAGAGGCUUUGCAUGUUACUCAAUGAACUUUGUAAUCCUCAGUAAGCAACCAAACAUAUAUUGAAAAAUCUUGAAGGAACCCAGAAACAAACCAAUAUGCUAAUUAACCAGCCAGAUAGGGUUAGAUAAGAAGAAUGGUCCUUCACAAAGCCUAAAGUCCUAGAAAAGACCUUUAUUUUGAAAAAUGAGUAAUAUCUGCACAUAUUAAUAUUUAACAUAUUUUAUACAGUGUUGGAUAUGGUCAGUUAGAAACCAUAUAGAAAUUUUAACAAUACAUUUUAUUUCACCAACAGCUAUGCAUGCUGCAGUUCCUGAGAGGUGCUGCUUCAGUUAUAUUGGUUUUAAGAUUCCAGACAAUAAAAUUGUGAGUGCUGAGAAGACAGGUUUACAUUGCCCUGUCACUGGUAUUGUGAUUACGACACAAAAAGGUUUAGAAUUUUGUGUGAAACCAGACGAGCCUUGGAUAAAGAAAGUGAUGGAGCAUCUUGAAAAAACAAAAGCAGUUUGAAAAAAGCACAACACAAUAAUAGUGAACAAAAACAAGUGAACAAACUAAUAUCGUUAUUGCUUUACACAACUGUCCUUUCUUAAUGAAUGUAGUUUUGCAUCUCCUGAUUAAUAUUUCAAACAUCUGAAUGUUAAACUGUCUUCAUUUUCCGCUCAAUCUAUGCAAAUAAAUAUUAAAAUGCACUGAGA